This 486-nucleotide long non-coding RNA is filed under the name Ictidomys tridecemlineatus (thirteen-lined ground squirrel). RNAcentral describes it as "lncRNA (ENSSTOG00000034012.1)". The record is from RNAcentral. Lineage: Eukaryota; Metazoa; Chordata; Mammalia; Rodentia; Sciuridae.
CGCGCCGCGGCGGCGGGGCGGGGGGAAGUAGAGGCCGGCGGGGGUGGGGAUCGGGAAGCGCAGGAGCAGAGGCAUCCGCCGCGCGCCCCGCGAGCUGGUGGGGGGAGGAGGAGGAAAACUUGAGAGCCCUGGAAUGGGAGGGGGCGCGGUGGCACGGGCGGGGGGAGGGUGCAACUUCGGGACUGGUAAAACUUUAAUUACCUUGAAAGAAAAAAAAAAGGCCCUAUGAUUUUAACCCCCGGUUCUGGUUAGAGCCCGGCCCACAGCGCGACCGUGAGAGAAAGUUUAAAAGCGGGCGGUUUCCUCUCCGCCUUCCCCGCGCAGGGUUGGGGGUGUCUGUCUGUCCGUCUGCGCUCGGAGAGAGGUAGGGGUAACGAGCCGCACUCCCGGGUCGCGUGGACCGACUCUUGCCCCACCCUUCCACGGGGAGACGAAGUGCUAGAUUCUUAAAAGAAGUCUUUGGGGUGCACAGCAAUUGUGAAGAUC